AGAAAUGAUCAUGCACUGCUCUAUAAAACACAUCUCUACAGAUUUCAAAGAAUUAAAAUCAUGGAGUAUGAAUUCUAGUAAUAAUGCAAAUGUGCAAAGACAAUAGAAAAAUCUCAAUGUAUUUGAAAAUUAAGAAAUAUACUUUUAAAUAACCAAAAUAAUAUGUCAUGGUGCAUAUUUAAAAAUACGUGUACUAAGUAGUAAUAAAAAUCCUAUAUUGAACAUGAAUAGAUUGCAGCUAAAGUAGAACUUAGAGUGGAAAGAGUAACCUCAAAUGCCUGUAUUAGUGGGAAAGACUGCAAGUUAAUCAGAUACACAUUGAUCUCAAAAAGGAGAUGAAUUCAAACAAAGUAAAAUAAAGAAAAAUAAAACAAAGUGGAAAAGAGGAAAUGAUAAAGCUAAAAGCAAAAAAUGAUGAAAUGGACAUUAAGUAGAGGAUCAGUGAAGUCAAAAGCUGUUUCUUCACAAUGUUUAAUGAAAUUGACAAAUAAGAUUUGAGCGAUAAGACAGAUUCCUGCUUUCUCUACUUCUAUUCAGGAUUGUGCCAGAUAGCCCAAUAAGUCAAGAAAAAGAAAGUAUGUAAGUUAAGAAUGAAAGAAAUAAAAAUGGCCACUAUUUGCUGAUGACUUGUG
This 632-nucleotide long non-coding RNA is filed under the name Marmota monax (woodchuck). The record is from RNAcentral. Lineage: Eukaryota; Metazoa; Chordata; Mammalia; Rodentia; Sciuridae.